RNAcentral lists this ribosomal RNA (581 nucleotides) under uncultured bacterium. RNAcentral's name for it is "bacterial SSU rRNA". It matches the Rfam family "Bacterial small subunit ribosomal RNA", at positions 80 to 679 of the family's 1533-position model. The record is from RNAcentral.
AGGGUUUAUGACUGAGUGGCGGACGGGUGAGUAACGCGUGGGCAACCUGCCCCGUACCGGGGGACAACAUCCGGAAACGGCUGCUAAUACCGUAUACGUUUUAAGGACCGCAUGGUCCGUAAAACAAAACUCCGGUGGUACGGGAUGGGCCAGCGUCUGAUUAGCUCGUUGGCGGGGUAACGGCCCACCAAGGCGACGAUCAGUAGCCGGCCUGAGAGGGCGGCCGGCCACAUUGGGACUGAGACACGGCCCAGACUCCUGCGGGAGGCAGCAGUGGGGAAUAUUGCACAAUGGGGGAAACCCUGAUGCAGCGACGCCGCGUGAGCGAGGAAGUACCUCGGUAUGUAAAGCUCUGUCAGCAGGGAAGAAAAUGACAGUACCUGACCAAGAAGCCCCGGCUAACUACGUGCCAGCAGCCGCGGUAAUACGUAGGGGGCAAGCGUUAUCCGGAUUCACUGGGCGUAAAGGGAGCGCAGGCGGCACGGCAAGUCUGAUGUGAAAACCCGGGGCUCAACCCCGGGACUGCAUUGGAAACUGCCGGGCUGGAGUGUCGGAGGGGCAGGCGGAAUUCCUGGUGUAGC